AACGAACGCUGGCGGCGUGCCUAACACAUGCAAGUCGCGCGAGAAAGUUCCUUCGGGAGCGAGUAAAGCGGCGCACGGGUGAGUAACACGUAGGUAACCUGCCCCCCAGUCUGGAACAACUAGAGGAAACUCUAGCUAAUGCCGGAUGAGACCACGAUCCCUUCGGGGGGUUGCGGCCAAAGAUGGCCUCUACUUGUAAGCUAUCGCUGAGGGAUGGGCCUGCGGGCCAUUAGCUUGUUGGUGAGGUAACGGCUCACCAAGGCUGUGAUGGCUAGCUGGUCUGAGAGGAUGACCAGCCACACUGGGACUGAGACACGGCCCAGACUCCUACGGGAGGCAGCAGUGGGGAAUAUUGCGCAAUGGGCGAAAGCCUGACGCAGCGACGCCGCGUGGGUGAUGAAGGCCU
RNAcentral lists this ribosomal RNA (406 nucleotides) under uncultured bacterium. Its description in RNAcentral is "bacterial SSU rRNA". It matches the Rfam family "Bacterial small subunit ribosomal RNA", at positions 29 to 417 of the family's 1533-position model. The record is from RNAcentral.